RNAcentral lists this ribosomal RNA (229 nucleotides) under Streptococcus pneumoniae. Its description in RNAcentral is "partial 16S ribosomal RNA". It matches the Rfam family "Bacterial small subunit ribosomal RNA", at positions 1 to 221 of the family's 1533-position model. Lineage: Bacteria; Bacillati; Bacillota; Bacilli; Lactobacillales; Streptococcaceae. The record is from RNAcentral.
UUUUAAUGAGAGUUUGAUCCUGGCUCAGGACGAACGCUGGCGGCGUGCCUAAUACAUGCAAGUAGAACGCUGAAGGAGGAGCUUGCUUCUCUGGAUGAGUUGCGAACGGGUGAGUAACGCGUAGGUAACCUGCCUGGUAGCGGGGGAUAACUAUUGGAAACGAUAGCUAAUACCGCAUAAGAGUAGAUGUUGCAUGACAUUUGCUUAAAAGGUGCACUUGCAUCACUAC